RNAcentral lists this long non-coding RNA (252 nucleotides) under Phoenix dactylifera (date palm). Its description in RNAcentral is "long non-coding RNA (PDAC_LNC012392)". Lineage: Eukaryota; Viridiplantae; Streptophyta; Magnoliopsida; Arecales; Arecaceae. The record is from RNAcentral.
GACGCGAUGCUGGGAGUUGAAACGGAAGGUGGGGAUGCGGGCUUCCUUCUUCGGGUGCUGCUGGGAGCUAAAGCAGAAGGUGGAGCCAUUCAUGGAAGAGCUGGGAUUUGGGGGAGGUGGAUCCGUUGAUUUCUUUCUUUGGAUCGAUGGAAGGAUGGGAGCAUGGAGAUGGGCUGACGGCUGGCAGCGACUGUGAGAUCACGGGAUCGUUGCUCUUCCCUUUGACGCGGAAGAGACGGAUGCAGACUUCCU